Molecule: ribosomal RNA, 251 nt
Filed under: uncultured soil bacterium
Lineage: Bacteria
Description: partial 16S ribosomal RNA
Rfam family: Bacterial small subunit ribosomal RNA
Source: RNAcentral
AGGAUGAACGCUGGCGGCGUGCUUAACACAUGCAAGUCAAGGGGGCCCAGCAAUGGGUAACCGGCGAACGGGUGCGUAACACGUGAGCAACCUACCGAAUUGUGGGGGAUAGCCGGCCCAACGGCCGGGUAAUACCGCAUACGCUCGAGACGAGGCAUUUCGACUCGAGGAAACCUACGGGACAUUUCGAGGGCUCGCGGCCUAUCAGCUAGUUGGUGAGGUAACGGCUCACCAAGGCGACGACGGGUAGC